RNAcentral lists this ribosomal RNA (253 nucleotides) under uncultured bacterium. RNAcentral describes it as "partial 16S ribosomal RNA". It matches the Rfam family "Bacterial small subunit ribosomal RNA", at positions 524 to 776 of the family's 1533-position model. The record is from RNAcentral.
UACGGGGGGGGCAAGCGUUGUUCGGAAUUACUGGGCGUAAAGGGCGCGUAGGCGGCUUCGGAAGUUAUGGGUGAAAGCCCCCGGCUCAACUGGGGAAUGGCCUGUAAAACCACGGAGCUGGAGUGCUGGAGAGGGAAGUGGAAUUCCCAGUGUAGCGGUGAAAUGCGUAGAUAUUGGGAGGAACACCAGUGGCGAAGGCGGCUUCCUGGACAGACACUGACGCUGAGGCGCGAAAGCCAGGGGAGCGAACGGG